Molecule: long non-coding RNA, 963 nt
Filed under: Homo sapiens (human)
Lineage: Eukaryota; Metazoa; Chordata; Mammalia; Primates; Hominidae
Description: novel transcript
Source: RNAcentral
GGGAAGAUGGGGGAGGCAGCACACUGGGGUCAGGAGUGGAGAUACUUAGGCUCCCCAGAGAAAUUAGUCACAAGUCUUAUCCCUUCAUCUCCAUUUACAGCCAUUUAUUUGGGAGCAACAUACUUUAAAUGAGUGAUAAACAAAAUGUCUCCCCACAGCCCCCACCCCAGCAUGUGUUCUGAAGUUCACAGGAAGGCUUCUCCUCAUUUGCUUUGGGGCCCGCAGGCUGCCUGCUAACAGCUGGGUCUUCCCAUGAACAAAUUAGACAGUUAAUGUUCCAGGAUGAAGAGGGCUUCGGGGAACAGAAUCUGCCGUUUAUUUGACUUGCUUCAUUAGACACAGUGCCAUCAUACCAAAAUUAGAAAAAAGAAGGAACUCAGCGGAAAUCAGCUACACAAGAAGAACCUCUCAGUUCUGAGAAUUCACAUUAACCAGUGAUUAAGAAAUAUUAAAAAGGUAUAGUUCUUGGCUGUGCUGAGGAUCUGUAAGGCACCAGAUGUGAAAGUAAGGAAGAAAGAUGGAUGUGGAAGAAAGUCACUGCCCAGAGAAUAAGGAGACCUGGAUUCUAAUCUCAGCUCUGCCAUUAACUAGCUGUGAGACUCAAGAAUAACUAAUCAUUUUGAUAACUCGUUUUUUUACUUUUUAAAAUGAGGAGCCAAGUUUAGACAAUGAGCUCGGCUCUUCACCAGUGAUAAAGUGUCUGGGACAUGCUUCCAUUCAAGCAAUGCUCUUCCUUCUUGAUGAAACUAUGGCUCAAAAGGGAAUAAGAGAUCAAGGCAAGCAUGGACAUCUUGUACGUGGAAGUGCAGACCAGAACUUGUAUCACAGCCAGUCAUAUCUGGUGCUUUCCAUGCUACUUUUACAUACAUGUAUCCUUAAAUUUGAUCCUCUUCUAGUUUAGUCUAAACUCUUUACUUUGUAACUUCCAAACCUAAAAGGUGCAGCAGACAUUGACAAUCUUAA